UGUCGAGCAGCGUAUGGCAAACUUUCAUCAAGGAAGAUACGUCCCGUGAAUGGACACCGAAGCUGCGAUGGCGUGCGAAAAAAUGCCCGCAACAACCUCCGGGGACCGAUCUCUGUGGAUUCUUCGUUUGCGAGUACAUCCGCAGAAUUGUCAGCGAGAGAACGAAUAAUGAAAGAAAUAAAGAGUUGGCAAGAAAGCGGAACAAGCUCUCAAUCGAUGACCGCUUCAUAGCAAUAGGCGAGA
Long non-coding RNA from Lolium perenne, 243 nucleotides. RefSeq lists it as uncharacterized. The record is from RefSeq and is a predicted model, not a curated record. NCBI's taxonomy places the organism in Eukaryota, Viridiplantae, Streptophyta, Magnoliopsida, Poales, Poaceae.